RNAcentral lists this ribosomal RNA (511 nucleotides) under uncultured bacterium. RNAcentral's name for it is "partial 16S ribosomal RNA". It matches the Rfam family "Bacterial small subunit ribosomal RNA", at positions 28 to 523 of the family's 1533-position model. The record is from RNAcentral.
GACGAACGCUGGCGGCGUGCCUAAUACAUGCAAGUAGAACGCUGAAGGAGGAGCUUACUUCUCUGGAUGAGUUGCGAACGGGUGAGUAACGCGUAGGUAACCUGCCUGGUAGCGGGGGAUAACUAUUGGAAACGAUAGCUAAUACCGCAUAAGAGUAGAUGUUGCAUGACAUUUACUUAAAAGGUGCAAUUGCACCACUACCAGAUGGACCUGCGUUGUAUUAGCUAGUUGGUGGGGCAACGGCUUACCAAGGCGACGAUACAUAGCCGACCUGAAAGGGUGAUCGGCCAGGCUGGGACUGAGACACGGCCCAGACUCCUACGGGGGGCAGCAGUAGGGAAUCUUCGGCAAUGGACGGAAGUCUGACCGAGCAACGCCGCGUGAGUGAAGAAGGUUUUCGGAUCGUAAAGCUCUGUUGUAAGAGAAGAACGAGUGUGAGAGUGGAAAGUUCACACUGUGACGGUAUCUUACCAGAAAGGGACGGCUAACUACGUGCCAGCCGCCGCUGUAA